Molecule: ribosomal RNA, 621 nt
Filed under: uncultured bacterium
Lineage: Bacteria
Description: bacterial SSU rRNA
Rfam family: Bacterial small subunit ribosomal RNA
Source: RNAcentral
UGCUUGAGAGUGGCGAACGGGUGAGUAAUAUAUCGGAACGUGCCCAGUCGUGGGGGAUAACGUAGAGAAAUUUACGCUAAUACCGCAUACGAUCUAAGGAUGAAAGCGGGGGACUUCGCAAGAGGCCUCGUGCGAUUGGAGCGGCUGAUCUCAGAUUAGGUUGUUGGUGAGGUAAAAGCUCACCAAGCCGACGAUCUGUAGCUGGUUUGAGAGAACGACCAGCCACACUGGGACUGAGACACGGCCCAGACUCCUACGGGAGGCAGCAGUGGGGAAUUUUGGACAAUGGGCGAAAGCCUGAUCCAGCAAUGCCGCGUGUGGGAAGAAGGCCUUCGGGUUGUAAACCACUUUUGUACGGAACGAAACGCCUCGCUUUAAUACAGUGGGGUAAUGACGGUACCGUAAGAAUAAGCACCGGCUAACUACGUGCCAGCAGCCGCGGUAAUACGUAGGGUGCGAGCGUUAAUCGGAAUUACUGGGCGUAAAGCGUGCGCAGGCGGUUAUAUAAGACAGUUGUGAAAUCCCCGGGCUCAACCUGGGAAUUGCAUCUGUGACUGUAUAGCUAGAGUACGGUAGAGGGGGAUGGAAUUCCGCGUGUAGCAGUGAAAUGCGUAGAUAUGC